AGGCAACCUGCCCUCAAGUUUGGGACAACUACCGGAAACGGUAGCUAAUACCGAAUAGUUGUUUUCUUCGCCUGAAGGAAACUGGAAAGACGGAGCAAUCUGUCACUUGGGGAUGGGCCUGCGGCGCAUUAGCUAGUUGGUGGGGUAACGGCUCACCAAGGCGACGAUGCGUAGCCGACCUGAGAGGGUGAUCGGCCACACUGGGACUGAGACACGGCCCAGACUCCUACGGGAGGCAGCAGUAGGGAAUCUUCCGCAAUGGGCGAAAGCCUGACGGAGCAAUGCCGCGUGAGUGAUGAAGGUUUUCGGAUCGUAAAGCUCUGUUGCCAGGGAAGAACGCUUGGGAGAGUAACUGCUCUCAAGGUGACGGUACCUGAGAAGAAAGCCCCGGCUAACUACGUGCCAGCAGCCGCGGUAAUACGUAGGGGGCAAGCGUUGUCCGGAAUUAUUGGGCGUAAAGCGCGCGCAGGCGGUCAUUUAAGUCUGGUGUUUAAUCCCGGGGCUCAACCCCGGAUCGCACUGGAAACUGGGUGACUUGAGUGCAGAAGAGGAGAGUGGAAUUCCACGU
RNAcentral lists this ribosomal RNA (568 nucleotides) under uncultured bacterium. Its description in RNAcentral is "bacterial SSU rRNA". It matches the Rfam family "Bacterial small subunit ribosomal RNA", at positions 119 to 674 of the family's 1533-position model. The record is from RNAcentral.